This 421-nucleotide ribosomal RNA is filed under the name Clostridioides difficile. RNAcentral describes it as "bacterial SSU rRNA". It matches the Rfam family "Bacterial small subunit ribosomal RNA", at positions 1 to 431 of the family's 1533-position model. The record is from RNAcentral. Lineage: Bacteria; Bacillati; Bacillota; Clostridia; Peptostreptococcales; Peptostreptococcaceae.
UUAUUUGAGAGUUUGAUCCUGGCUCAGGAUGAACGCUGGCGGCGUGCCUAACACAUGCAAGUUGAGCGAUUUACUUCGGUAAAGAGCGGCGGACGGGUGAGUAACGCGUGGGUAACCUACCCUGUACACACGGAUAACAUACCGAAAGGUAUGCUAAUACGGGAUAAUAUAUUUGAGAGGCAUCUCUUGAAUAUCAAAGGUGAGCCAGUACAGGAUGGACCCGCGUCUGAUUAGCUAGUUGGUAAGGUAACGGCUUACCAAGGCGACGAUCAGUAGCCGACCUGAGAGGGUGAUCGGCCACAUUGGAACUGAGACACGGUCCAAACUCCUACGGGAGGCAGCAGUGGGGAAUAUUGCACAAUGGGCGAAAGCCUAAUGCAGCGACGGCGCGUGAGUGAUGAAGGCCUUCGGGUCGUAAAAC